GACGUAGGGUGCAAGCGUUGUCCGGAUUUAUUGGGCGUAAAGAGCUCGUAGGCGGUUUGUCGCGUCUGCCGUGAAAGUCCGGGGCUCAACUCCGGAUCUGCGGUGGGUACGGGCAGACUAGGGUGAUGUAGGGGAGACUGGAAUUCCUGGUGUAGCGGUGAAAUGCGCAGAUAUCAGGAGGAACACCGAUGGCGAAGGCAGGUCUCUGGGCAUUAACUGACGCUGAGGAGCGAAAGCAUGGGGAGCGAACAGG
Molecule: ribosomal RNA, 253 nt
Filed under: uncultured bacterium
Lineage: Bacteria
Description: partial 16S ribosomal RNA
Rfam family: Bacterial small subunit ribosomal RNA
Source: RNAcentral